UUUGGAGAGUUUGAUCCUGGCUCAGGACGAACGCUGGCNGCGUGCUUAACACAUGCAAGUCGAACGGGAUCCUUUCUAGCUUGCUAGGGGGGUGAGAGUGGCGAACGGGUGAGUAACGCGUGAUUAACCUGCCGUGUAGUUUGGAAUAGCUCCUGGAAACGGGUGGUAAUGCCGAAUGUUCCACAUGCUCGCAUGGGUGUGUGGGAAAACGUUUUAGUGCUAUGCGAUGGGAUCGCGUCCUAUCAGCUUGUUGGUGGGGUAGUGGCCUACCAAGGCUUCGACGGGUAGCCGGCCUGAGAGGGCGACCGGCCACAUUGGGACUGAGAUACGGCCCAGACUCCUACGGGAGGCAGCAGUGGGGAAUAUUGCACAAUGGGGGGAACCCUGAUGCAGCGACGCCGCGUGCGGGAUGACGGCCUUCGGGUUGUAAACCGCUUUUAUUGGGGAGCAAGCGUGAGUGAGUGUACCUUUUGAAUAAGCACCGGCUAACUACGUGCCAGCAGCCGCGGUA
This 511-nucleotide ribosomal RNA is filed under the name Alloscardovia omnicolens. RNAcentral describes it as "bacterial SSU rRNA". It matches the Rfam family "Bacterial small subunit ribosomal RNA", at positions 1 to 522 of the family's 1533-position model. The record is from RNAcentral. Lineage: Bacteria; Bacillati; Actinomycetota; Actinomycetes; Bifidobacteriales; Bifidobacteriaceae.